RNAcentral lists this ribosomal RNA (253 nucleotides) under uncultured bacterium. RNAcentral describes it as "partial 16S ribosomal RNA". It matches the Rfam family "Bacterial small subunit ribosomal RNA", at positions 524 to 776 of the family's 1533-position model. The record is from RNAcentral.
UACAGAGGGUGCAAGCAUUAAUCGGAAUUACUGGGCGUAAAGCGUGCGCAGGCGGCUUUGCAAGACAGAUGUGAAAUCCCCGGGCUCAACCUGGGAACUGCAUUUGUGACUGCAAGGCUAGAGUACGGCAGAGGGGGAUGGAAUUCCGCGUGUAGCAGUGAAAUGCGUAGAUAUGCGGAGGAACACCAAUGGCGAAGGCAAUCCCCUGGGCCUGUACUGACGCUCAUGCACGAAAGCGUGGGGAGCAAACAGG